GCAGUGANGUGAAGCAAAUCGCACCAAAGCCGGUCCCAGUUCGGAUAAGAGGCUGAAACUCGCCUCUUUGAAGUCGGAAUCGCUAGUAAUCGCAGAUCAGCAUGUUGCGGUGAAUACGUUCCCGGGUCUUGUACACACCGCCCGUCAAACCAUGAGAGUCACCAACACCCGAAGUCCGCUUUGGCGGCCUAAGGUGGGGGAGAUGAUUGGGGUUAAGUCGUAACAAGGUACC
RNAcentral lists this ribosomal RNA (232 nucleotides) under uncultured bacterium. Its description in RNAcentral is "partial 16S ribosomal RNA". It matches the Rfam family "Bacterial small subunit ribosomal RNA", at positions 1254 to 1500 of the family's 1533-position model. The record is from RNAcentral.